UCAUUUUCCACCAUUCUCCCGUCCCUUGCUCCACACCGAUUCUAAACUUCGUUCUCCCGUCCCUUGCUCCACACCGAAACUUCACUAUUUCUUCCUUUAAUUCCUUCAUUUCUUUUUCAUCACCAAAGCACUCUCCAUUAUUCUCUUAUAUUUUUUUAGCUUUUGCACCUACCCCUCUUUCGGAACACCCUUUAUCAAGUUCACUGAAGAAGGUCUUCGAUUCCAGGGUCCAAAGUGGGGAGAUUCAACCGACCCAGUUCAGAUUUCGGGCUUCUUUCAGGACCUUGGAGGUGGUUUGAUGAAUCUAUGCUUGAUUGUUGUGAGCCUUUGGAAAAAGUUAAAGAGAAAGGAAUAUCAUUUGGCAAGCUUGUGUGUUUGGCUCAUUGUGCUGGAGCAAAAGAUGAAGCGUUCCACACAAAUCAAAGCUCCUUGGAUGACUUCCGUAAAUUUGUUGUGAGAUGUUCCACUUCUGAUGAGUGUCAUAUAAUUUCAUCAUAUUACAGGUCAAUUUUUAAACAUACGGGCACUGGUCAUUUUUCUCCUCUUGGUGAUUAUCAUGCUGGAAGGGACAUGGACCUGAUUUUAGAUGUUGCUCGUUUUAAGUAUCCUCCUCAUUGGGUUCCUCUGAAACUUCUUUGUCAGUAUCCUCCUCAGUGGGUUCCUCUGAAACUUCGUUGUCAGUAUCCUCCUCAUUGGGUUCCUCUGAAACUUCUUUGUGGUGUGGCUGUGGGUUGACUCUUGAAUGUUAAGAGUUCAUAUAACCAGUUUUAUUGUUAAGAUGCAUCUAAUACCAAUUUGGCAACAAAUAUUAUCACCAAAACUACACAAGGCCUCUUCCUCUCAUCAACAAACUAGUAUUUGGUUGACCUUUUUAUUUGUGUAUUUUUGUUAUGCUCUAUCAAAGUUUAGUCAGGUGUAGUUUCUUGAUUUUUGGUUUAAUACAUGUGUUAGCAACAUGUUUACAGUUUUAUUUGGUACAAGUGCGUCUCUUCUUGAUGGUAUAGUUUCUUGAUGUA
Long non-coding RNA from Hibiscus syriacus, 1016 nucleotides. RefSeq lists it as uncharacterized. The record is from RefSeq and is a predicted model, not a curated record. The transcript has 4 exons. Lineage: Eukaryota; Viridiplantae; Streptophyta; Magnoliopsida; Malvales; Malvaceae.